RNAcentral lists this ribosomal RNA (465 nucleotides) under uncultured bacterium. Its description in RNAcentral is "partial 16S ribosomal RNA". It matches the Rfam family "Bacterial small subunit ribosomal RNA", at positions 338 to 795 of the family's 1533-position model. The record is from RNAcentral.
CCUACGGGAGGCAGCAGUAGGGAAUCUUCCACAAUGGGCGAAAGCCUGAUGGAGCAACGCCGCGCGGGUGAAGAAGGUCUUCGGAUCGUAAAACUCUGUUGUUAGAGAAGAAAGUGCGUGAGAGUAACUGUUCACGUUUCGACGGUAUCUAACCAGAAAGCCACGGCUAACUACGUGCCAGCAGCCGCGGUAAUACGUAGGUGGCAAGCGUUAUCCGGAUUUAUUGGGCGUAAAGGGAACGCAGGCGGUCUUUUAAGUCUGAUGUGAAAGCCUUCGGCUUAACCGGAGUAGUGCAUUGGAAACUGGGAGACUUGAGUGCAGAAGAGGAGGGUGGAACUCCAGGUGUAGCGGUGAAAUGCGUAGAUAUAUGGAAGAACACCAGUGGCGAAAGCGGCUCUCUGGUCUGUAACUGACGCUGAGGUUCGAAAGCGUGGGUAGCAAACAGGAUUAGAUACCCGAGUAGUC